RNAcentral lists this ribosomal RNA (481 nucleotides) under uncultured bacterium. Its description in RNAcentral is "partial 16S ribosomal RNA". It matches the Rfam family "Bacterial small subunit ribosomal RNA", at positions 28 to 523 of the family's 1533-position model. The record is from RNAcentral.
GACGAACGCUGGCGGCGUGCUUAACACAUGCAAGUCGAACGAUGAAGGAGAGCUUGCUCUCCGGAUUAGUGGCGAACGGGUGAGUAACACGUGACUAACCUGCCCCUUUCUCUGGGAUAACGCUCCGAAAGGAGUGCUAAUACCGGAUACGAACUCUGAACACAUGUUCGGAGUUGGAAAGUUUUUCGGAAAGGGAUGGAGUGGCGGCCUAUCAGCUUGUUGGUGAGGUAACGGCUCACCAAGGCGACGACGGGUAGCCGGCCUGAGAGGGCGGCCGGCCACACUGGGACUGAGACACGGCCCAGACUCCUACGGGAGGCAGCAGUGGGGAAUAUUGCACAAUGGGCGAAAGCCUGAUGCAGCGACGCCGCGUGAGGGAUGAAGGUCUUCGGAUUGUAAACCUCUUUCAGUAGGGACGAAGCGAAAGUGACGGUACCUAAAGAAGAAGCACCGGCUAACUACGUGCCAGCCGCCGCGGUAA